AAGUCGUAACAAGGUUUCCGUAGGUGAACCUGCGGAAGGAUCAUUAUUGAAUACGAUUGGGACUGAUGCUGGCUCUUCACUGAGCAUGUGCUCGUCCUAUUCUAUUUAUCUUCUCUUGUGCACAUUUUGGUAGUCUCGAGCUAAUCAACCUUUGCGGGUUGGAUGUGAGGGCUGCUGGCUUCGGUCAGCUCCCUUUAAUCAACCUUGAGCGCAAGCUCAAGGCUUGGAUAUGAGGGUGGUUAUUCUCCCUUUGAUUCGAGACUCUGUUUUCAUAUACACCAUAAAGUCAUAGAAUGUCUCUUUAACGACCUGACGGUCAUUAAAAUCUAUACAACUUUCAGCAACGGAUCUCUUGGCUCUC
Molecule: unclassified non-coding RNA, 361 nt
Filed under: air metagenome
Description: partial contains small subunit ribosomal RNA, internal transcribed spacer 1, and 5.8S ribosomal RNA
Rfam family: Eukaryotic small subunit ribosomal RNA (bases 1-46)
Source: RNAcentral